CCUACGGGAGGCAGCAGUGGGGGAUAUUGCACAAUGGGGGGAACCCUGAUGCAGCGACGCCGCGUGGGUGAAGAAGCGCCUCGGCGCGUAAAGCCCUGUCAGCAGGGAAGAAAAUGACGGUACCUGAAGAAGAAGCCCCGGCGAACGACGUGCCAGCCGCCGCGGUAAGACGUAGGGGGCAAGCGUUCUCCGGAUUUACUGGGUGUAACGGGGGCGCAGACGGCGAUGCAAGCCAGGUGGGCCAGCCCGGGGCCCAACCCCGGGACUGCUCUUGGAACUGCGGGGCUGGACGGCAGGAGGGGCAGGCGGAAUUCCUGGUGUAGCGGUGAAAUGCGUCGAUAUCAGGAGGAACACCGGUGGCGAGGGCGGCCUGCUGGACUGCAACUGACGUUGAGGCCCGAAAGCGUGGGGAGCAAACAGGAUUAGAUACCCCUGUAGUC
This 440-nucleotide ribosomal RNA is filed under the name uncultured bacterium. RNAcentral describes it as "partial 16S ribosomal RNA". It matches the Rfam family "Bacterial small subunit ribosomal RNA", at positions 338 to 795 of the family's 1533-position model. The record is from RNAcentral.